UGGAAAGAGAAGAUUCUACUUCAUAGGUGGAAUUACAAGCCACCGCCUCUAUUCAGCCAUCUUACC
This 66-nucleotide transfer RNA is filed under the name Agama impalearis. Its description in RNAcentral is "tRNA-Tyr". Lineage: Eukaryota; Metazoa; Chordata; Lepidosauria; Squamata; Agamidae. The record is from RNAcentral.